AUUGAACGCUGGCGGCAGGCUUAACACAUGCAAGUCGAGCGGGGUGAUGGUGCUUGCACUAUCACUUAGCGGCGGACGGGUGAGUAAUGCUUAGGAAUCUGCCUAUUAGUGGGGGACAACAUCUCGAAAGGGAUGCUAAUACCGCAUACGUCCUACGGGAGAAAGCAGGGGAUCACUUGUGACCUUGCGCUAAUAGAUGAGCCUAAGUCGGAUUAGCUAGUUGGUGGGGUAAAGGCCUACCAAGGCGACGAUCUGUAGCGGGUCUGAGAGGAUGAUCCGCCACACUGGGACUUAGACACUGCCCAGACUCCUACGGGAGGCAGCAGUGGGGAAUAUUGGACAAUGGGGGGAACCCUGAUCCAGCCAUGCCGCGUGUGUGAAGAAGGCCUUAUGGUUGUAAAGCACUUUAAGCGAGGAGGAGGCUACUAGUAUUAAUACUACUGGAUAGUGGACGUUACUCGCAGAAUAAGCACCGGCUAACUCUGUGCCAGCCGCCGCCGUAA
RNAcentral lists this ribosomal RNA (503 nucleotides) under uncultured bacterium. RNAcentral's name for it is "partial 16S ribosomal RNA". It matches the Rfam family "Bacterial small subunit ribosomal RNA", at positions 30 to 523 of the family's 1533-position model. The record is from RNAcentral.